RNAcentral lists this long non-coding RNA (1147 nucleotides) under Equus asinus (donkey). Its description in RNAcentral is "lncRNA (ENSEASG00005034779.1)". Lineage: Eukaryota; Metazoa; Chordata; Mammalia; Perissodactyla; Equidae. The record is from RNAcentral.
AGGACUGAAAACAUUAUAAGAAAAUUCUACAAAAAGCUAUACAUGAACAAAUUGGAUAAUCUAAAAGAAAUGGAGAAAUUUUUAGAAUCAUACAACCUUCCAAGACUGAAUCAAGAAUAGAGAAUUUGAAUAGACCAAUCACCAGUAAGGAGAUCAAAACAGUCAACUCAGCAAGAUUGCCAAGCUCUGCUGUGUGAUUAUUACUAGGAAAAAGGGCCAUGCUUCCUACUCUGAAAGUUGAAGAGGCCAGAUACCUUCUCUCAAUGAUCACUGAAAGCUGAGAAGUGGACGACUGAUCUAGAAUCAGCCAACGGGUCCUCUCAUCCAGGGUGUUACAUUCUGAGAGCAUGGUAGAAAAUCCAAGGACACUGAGAAUCACACUUGGUGCUGAGUGUCCAGUUGUGUUCAUGGCAUCAACCUGACCAGACUGGUCCUGGGAGCUCAUCCUGGCAUGUCCUCAGCUGCCCGGCCUCUCUUGGUUCCCAUCUCUGUUCUGAGCCGGCUCCCUGUGGAGUCGCUGAGCUCUCUGAGACUCUUCUAUGAAGCUUCUCUUCUGCUUAGCAUAAAUUAUGAACCUUCUCCCUUUGCCACUGGACAUAUAAAUGGCAAAGUUUCUGCCUCCAAGAUCUAACAAUCUAAGAGGAAGAUGUUCACCAGAAAUGCUAACUGUAACGUAGGAGAUGAGGACUAUUCUGAAGUUUGGAGACUAAGUACCAGUUUCCUUGAGUGACAACCAUGAAGUUCAAGAAGGAAGAAACUUAUCUUCAGAUGCAGAGGAGGGCCCCACUUGGUUUAAGCCACUCAAAAUAAUGACAAUUCUUUGCCACUCAGAAUAAUGGCAAUUCCUUGUCAUAGUGAUUGAUACAGUUUAAGCCAAUCAGAGCAUAACAUUCCUGUAGCUACAGAGAUUGUAUCUGGGUGGUCCAAUCAGAGUGAAGCUUGGGACUUUUGUAUCAUGGUUAUAAACACUGGCCUUGGCCUUUGCUCUGCCCUUGGAUGUGAAUGUGGAGCCACCAUGAAUGCUGCUGGCAGUCAUUUUAUGAAGCCAGCCCAAGAACAAAGCCAACAUCUGAAGGCAGACAGAACUGAGAGAACUGCAGAAAAAUUGAGCCAGUGCCUGGACCAAACCAUGCCUGGACCAAGCCAU